UACAGAGGGGGCAAGCGUUGUUCGGAAUUACUGGGCGUAAAGGGCGCGUAGGCGGCCUGUUAAGUCGAACGUGAAAUCCCCGGGCUCAACCCGGGAACUGCGUCCGAUACUGGCAGGCUUGAAUCCGGGAGAGGGAUGCGGAAUUCCAGGUGUAGCGGUGAAAUGCGUAGAUAUCUGGAGGAACACCGGUGGCGAAGGCGGCAUCCUGGACCGGUAUGACGCUGAGGCGCGGAAAGCCAGGGGAGCAAACGGGG
This 254-nucleotide ribosomal RNA is filed under the name uncultured bacterium. RNAcentral describes it as "partial 16S ribosomal RNA". It matches the Rfam family "Bacterial small subunit ribosomal RNA", at positions 524 to 777 of the family's 1533-position model. The record is from RNAcentral.